AUGCAGAGGAGACUGGGGGCUCUGCUGGGGCUUCUGUGGGUGCAGGUUUGCUGGGUGAGAGGGCAGCAGGUGGAGCAGAGUCCUUCAGCCCUGAGUCUCCAGGAGGGAACUAGUCAUACUCUGACCUGCAAUUUUUCCACCACCAUGAACAAUGUGCAGUGGUUCCGACAGAAUCCUGGGAGUGGCCUCAUCAGUCUGUUUUACGUGGCUUCAGGGACAAAGCAGAAGGGAAGGUUAACAGCAAAGGUGAAUUUUCAGGAGCGCUACAGCACCCUGCACAUCUCCACGUCCCAGCUGAAAGACUCAGGCACCUACCUCUGUGCAGCAGGGGCACAGUGCUCCCAGGGGACCUGCAGCCUGUCCCCAAACUGCAGGUGCACCUGCAGCCACAGCCUCUGCCUCAGAGAGAACUUGUCAUAG
This is a non-coding RNA of Sciurus carolinensis (gray squirrel), 420 nucleotides long. NCBI's taxonomy places the organism in Eukaryota, Metazoa, Chordata, Mammalia, Rodentia, Sciuridae. The record is from the annotation of a RefSeq genome assembly.